CAUGGGGCCCUGCUCCGGGGCCAGUCCCUCUGCUGGGACUCAGGGCUCCUGGGAUUCAUUAGUCUCCUCCUCAGUGUCUGCAGCACAACAGCCAACACUUCUGGAGCACAUGGCCCUGCAGUGAAGGAUUCUGGAGCUCACAUUUGUCUGAAGGGGAUCCGAGGAGGUUCUGUCUUGUUGAAUGUGAUUGAGAAGCUCAGAGUAGAUGUAGACGCCGAGCUGGAGGAGGUUGUAUGGACUUUGGGUAUUCUGUCAAAUCAUACACAGGUGCUGUGAGUCCACAGGGGGGCCGACUCUCCAACCUGGGUCGGCCUUGAGGAAAAGUUCAAGCAGAGGGUCCAUGUGCCUAGCGUGUUGUCUCUGAGGAUUGAGAACCUGGCCCCUGAUGACAGUGGGCAGUACAUGGCCAUGAUCCACUUAACUGGGGGACAAUUAUCUGGCCAGGUUUUCUACCUCACUGUCUAUGAGCCUGUGCCUCAUCCUGAGAUCCUGGCCAAGUCACUGUCUAUCAUACCAGGCUUGUGUAACAUCACCCUGGAGUGCAGGGCUCCAGGAGCCACAGAGGACCUGAAUGUGACUUGGGAGAGCAAGGACCUCCUCAGAGAGCUGGAGCACAGAGAAACACGAGGACCAGCCCCUAACCCCUGGAUCCUGGCUGUGAACCUGCCCUGAGCCACGCACUCCCUGUGGUCGCCUGGAUCAGGAACCUACCUGGGGUUCAUGUAGACUGGACAUGGCUCUCCUUCGCAAGAUAUUCUUGGAGUCAUUGCAUUUGUGCUGUUGAUCCUGAGAGCUGGGCUAUACCUCUGGAAGAAACGUGGGAAGAAGAAGAAG
Molecule: small RNA, 834 nt
Filed under: Pan troglodytes (chimpanzee)
Lineage: Eukaryota; Metazoa; Chordata; Mammalia; Primates; Hominidae
Description: transcribed unitary pseudogene
Source: RNAcentral